AAAAAUACUAAUACCUUAGAACAAAAAAAAUUUUAUUUUAAAUUUAUGCUUUGAAGGACUCUAUCAGAAUUAAAUUAAAUGCUGAAAUCUUGCCACUGAUGGCUAAUAGUUGCCAUCACAACACAAACCAACAAUUACAAAUAUUUUCUUUCAUCUAUUUACACCAGCAUUGUUAUUAAUGCUGUAUUUGGCAUUUCCAUUAUGGUAUAUUGUGAUUGUUUCAUUUUGUGCAAAGCCAAUAUCAAGCCAAUCUGAGGUCUUUCAAGGAAGCAAGUUAAUCACUUUCUUUCAGCCUAUCCUUAUAAAUUUCAAUUAUCCUUUCUGUGCUUAUCCAGUCUUAAAUCCUCUUCUGUUUAAAGGUCUUUAUUCUUCUAUGAAACAAUGUAUAUGCUAUUUUUUUUUUUUUUUUGGUUUAUUUUAUCCUUGUCAUUUCUAAUAUUAAAUAUAAACACACUAUUCAACAGCAACAAAAAAUAACUAGAGGCCUAGACAAGACUGGAUGAGCAAAAAAAAAUGUUGCUACAAGAGAACUAAAACAACAGUGCAAAAGCUAAAUUGCUACAAGUUAAAAUACAAUGUGAAAAUGCUAUAGUAAUCCUGGAAUAUAUGGCAUAAAAGGACAGUUGAAAGGAUAAUAGUUGAAACUGCAAGGAAAGUAUGAAAAGUAAAAAAUUAUCACAUUACUCCUAAAGGUCAAUAGUCUAGCUUGGCAUUGAUGUGUUAAUAAAACAUCAUUUAACAUAUUGAAAAGAUAGUGCUAUAUAUAGUAUUAAUAAAGAUGCUAGUUUGGAAAAAAAUUUUUAAAGUAUUUGUUGAAUUGCAUUGCUAUGGCAACAUUUAGCCAUGCAGUGACAAGAUGGCACAUUUAAUUUAGUGUAGCCAUUGGUGAUAGUAUUGGGUUGUUCGGAAAAUUUGUGCCGAUUUUGAAGGAAAAUUGAAAUGUAC
Molecule: long non-coding RNA, 945 nt
Filed under: Androctonus crassicauda
Lineage: Eukaryota; Metazoa; Arthropoda; Arachnida; Scorpiones; Buthidae
Source: RNAcentral